Molecule: ribosomal RNA, 450 nt
Filed under: uncultured bacterium
Lineage: Bacteria
Description: bacterial SSU rRNA
Rfam family: Bacterial small subunit ribosomal RNA
Source: RNAcentral
GUGGGGAAUAUUGGACAAUGGGCGAAAGCCUGAUCCAGCCAUGCCGCGUGUGUGAAGAAGGUCUUCGGAUUGUAAAGCACUUUAAGUUGGGAGGAAGGGCAGUAAGUUAAUACCUUGCUGUUUUGACGUUACCGACAGAAUAAGCACCGGCUAACUUCGUGCCAGCAGCCGAGGUAAUACGAAGGGUGCAAGCGUUAAUCGGACUUACUGGGCGUAAAGCGCGCGUAGGUGGUUUUGUAAGUUGGAGGUGAAAUCCCCGGGCUAAACCUGGGAACUGCCUCCAAAACUGCAUGACUAGAGUACGGUAGAGGGUAGUGGAAUUUCCUGUGUAGCGGUGAAAUGCGUAGAUAUAGGAAGGAACACCAGUGGCGAAGGCGACUACCUGGACUGAUACUGACACUGAGGUGCGAAAGCGUGGGGAGCAAACAGGAUUAGAUACCCGGGUAGUCC